UGUUGGUUUAAUUCGAAGAUACACGAAGAACCUUACCUGGCCUUGACAUGGUAGGAACCCUUAAGAGAUUAGGGGGUGCUAGCUUGCUAGAACCUACACACAGGUGCUGCACGGCUGUCGUCAGCUCGUGUCGUGAGAUGUUGGGUUAAGUCCCGCAACGAGCGCAACCCUCGUCCUUAGUUGCUAACAGUUCGGCUGAGCACUCUAGGGAGACUGCCUUCGCAAGGAGGAGGAAGGUGAGGACGACGUCAAGUCAUCAUGGCCCUUACGGCCAGGGCUACACACGUGCUACAAUGGGGCGUACAGAGAGCUGCGAUACCGCGAGGUGGAGCCAAUCUCUUAAAGCGUCUCUCAGUUCGGAUUGUUCUCUGCAACUCGAGAACAUGAAGCUGGAAUCACUAGUAAUCGCAGAUCAGCUAUGCUGCGGUGAAUACGUUCCCGGGUCUU
This 447-nucleotide ribosomal RNA is filed under the name uncultured Sulfuricurvum sp. Its description in RNAcentral is "bacterial SSU rRNA". It matches the Rfam family "Bacterial small subunit ribosomal RNA", at positions 940 to 1382 of the family's 1533-position model. Lineage: Bacteria; Pseudomonadati; Campylobacterota; Epsilonproteobacteria; Campylobacterales; Sulfurimonadaceae. The record is from RNAcentral.